CUUUUAGAGAAAACUGAUGUGGAAAACUCAGCCAAAAGCUAGCAAGUGUCAAGUGAAUCGACAACAUCACCACAAACGUCUUUUCAAGCCAGCGGGGGAAGAAUGGCAGUGGUAGAACAUCAACAGACAAAAAAGCAUAAAGCCUCUCUGAUUGGCCGUGUUGGUAUGCUCUCUUUCACCACAUUCUUCAAGAAGGUAGAGCCUUCCCAAGAAGGAGGAGGGAUGUCUUUGCAUACCACACUAUGCAACACAAUCAUAGUUACAGAUCUCUGGGCUGCACAGCACAACUGACACGGAAGCUUUAUGAGCCGAAGUUUACAUGUGCUAGGACAAAAUGUGAAGCCAUAGCGAGUAACGUGUUUACACCAUGGCUAACUACUUUGGUAACACAGGACCUAGACCAGGUUGAAUUUGUGUCCCUGUCCAUUGAUGCGUCCAAUCAUGGACAUGUAAAGCUGCUGCCAAUACUAGUCAGAUAUUGUAAGAUAUAUGAUGGCAACACAUCCGUGGAAACAAACCUGCUUGAUUUUGUUGAAUUGCAAGGAGAAAUAGCCGAGGAAAUUGCUGCUGAGGUCCUGGUGUUCAUCCAAAAAUGAAACCUGGAAAACAAAGUCGUGGCAUUCUCUGCCGACAACACAAAUACCAACUUUGGAGGACUGAAUAGGCUGGGGAGGGUCAAUGUCCAUACCAAAGUUAAAAAUGCUCUGAAAUGGGAGGUGAUUAGAUUAGGUUGUCCUGCCCGCAUCAUUCAUAACACGGCCAGAACAGAUUUGGAUAUGAUUCCCCUUGAUGAUGAGUACCUGCUCACAAAGAUAUUUGGAUAUUUGUAUAGAAAGACUGAAGAGCUUUUUUUUAGGACACAGAAAUGUUCGCUGGCUGUCCAUGUUCCCGGCUCUAGAAAGAGUGCUGAAAAUGUAUGUGCCAUGGAAAUCCUUUUUUCUUUCUGAAGACAAAUACCCUGUUGUCCUGCAAACAAUGUUCGAAGAUCCACCGACUGAAUUUUGGCCUUUGUCCAUGGAAACCUGACCUAUUCAGUGACACAAUCAAGAUGCUUGAAGGCCAGGACCGCUGUGCUGUGGAGUCAGCUGCAAUUCUGAGAAACAUUAAGGCAAAAUUGACUGCAAGACGUGAUGACAACUUCAUUCCAGUUUUAGUCAGAGGACUUCUGAGAGAGCUGGAGGAAAAUGGAGCCAAGUCUAAAGACAGCUUUCUCAAAACAUCCCAAUCAUUCUUCACUACGGCUGUGAACUACUUGCAAGCAUGGGAAAAGCACACAGAUAAUCUAAAAGAUUUACAUUGUCUCCUUUUUAAAAAGGCAACCUCAGCGUGAAGAGAUCCAGAAGGCAGCAGGCACACUGCAGGAAAAAUGCCCCAAUGUGGCCAUCAAUGAGGAUGCAUUGUUUGACAAGGUUACUGGCCAGCAAAAGUUCCUAAAGGGAGGAUUGCUUGAAGAAUGGAAAACAUCUGAGACAUAGCUUAGUCAGAGAUGGAGCACGAUGGUUACCCACUUCAAAGAGAACAACAUCCCACACACUAACCUGGCUAGAUUAGCGUCUGUUGUCAUGUGCUUACCUGGAAGUUGUACACCAGUUGAGAGAGUGUUCUCCAAAUGAAUGAUCUAUGGACAGCAGCAAGAAAUAGGUUCCUACCAUCAAGGCUAUGCUUAUUGUGAAUAUAAACUUCAACCUCCUCUGCCAGGAGUUCAUGGAGAAGCUGGCCAAAGACAUAGCAAUCCUGAAGAAGAUACAUUCUGCUGAGAAAUAUUCAGAUUAGGUUGGUAUAAGUAUAUUAUGUAGUUACCAAUCUCAUUUUAUUUCUUUAUUUUGUUAAGUAUUUCACAUAUACUAUUGUCUGGUUUUUUUUUUCUUCAAUUUUGCUCAUGUUCUCUUCUGUUCUUAUUCUACCCAGACUACCAGGACCACUGAAUGGCUGUUCAGAUUGGACAGUUCUGUCUUGUCUGUAAUGUUUCUGUAAUAAAGUAGUUUUUUCUACCACA
This is a long non-coding RNA of Oncorhynchus nerka (sockeye salmon), 1996 nucleotides long. RefSeq lists it as uncharacterized. The transcript has 2 exons. Lineage: Eukaryota; Metazoa; Chordata; Actinopteri; Salmoniformes; Salmonidae. The record is from RefSeq and is a predicted model, not a curated record.